This 468-nucleotide ribosomal RNA is filed under the name uncultured bacterium. RNAcentral describes it as "partial 16S ribosomal RNA". It matches the Rfam family "Bacterial small subunit ribosomal RNA", at positions 28 to 507 of the family's 1533-position model. The record is from RNAcentral.
GACGAACGCUGGCGGCGUGCUUAACACAUGCAAGUCGAACGGAAAGGCCCUGCUUUUGUGGGGUGCUCGAGUGGCGAACGGGUGAGUAACACGUGAGUAACCUGCCCUUGACUUUGGUAUAACUUCAGGAAACUGGGGCUAAUACCGGAUAGGAGCUCCUGCUGCAUGGUGGGGGUUGGAAAGUUUCGGCGGUUGGGGAUGGACUCGCGGCUUAUCAGCUUGUUGGUGGGGUAGUGGCUUACCAAGGCUUUGACGGGUAGCCGGCCUGAGAGGGUGACCGGCCACAUUGGGACUGAGAUACGGCCCAGACUCCUACGGGAGGCAGCAGUGGGGAAUAUUGAACAAUGGGCGGAAGCCUGAUGCAGCAACGCCGCGUGCGGGAUGACGGCCUUCGGGUUGUAGACCGCUUUCGCCUGUGACGAAGCGUGAGUGACGGUAAUGGGUAGAGAAGCACCGGCUAAUUACGUG